GAUCUGGCAUGUGCGUGUUUAAAAAAACAUGGCAACAGCUUCUUGCAUUGCAGAGAUAAACCACAUCUUUAAUCAUGUUUUUUAGUUUUGCUUUGUCCUUGAUUUCUUCAUUAUGGUCGUUUGUUCCCUGGUAGGCUUUCUUGUUGGCUAUGUGAGCCACUGAGUUUUGUCUUACAGGAAGCUCUUUGAAUCUGCAUACCAUGUACAACAAAAACAACUUUAUUUUGCAAAAUCAACUUUAAAAUCUUUUUGAUUUGGCAUUUGGAAAUGAGUGGGAGCAGCUCCACCUAGCGGCAUGAUUGU
Myxocyprinus asiaticus (Chinese sucker) is the source of this 303-nucleotide long non-coding RNA. RefSeq lists it as uncharacterized. The record is from RefSeq and is a predicted model, not a curated record. The transcript has 3 exons. NCBI's taxonomy places the organism in Eukaryota, Metazoa, Chordata, Actinopteri, Cypriniformes, Catostomidae.